AGAGUUUGAUCCUGGCUCAGGACGACGCUGGCGGCGUCCUAAUUACAUGCAAGUAGAACGCUGAAGACUUUAGCUUGCUAGAGUUGGGAAGAGUUGCGAACGGGUGAGUUACGCGUACGGUAACCUGCCUACUAGCGGGGGAUAACUUUUGGAAACGAUAGCUAAUACCGCAUAACAGUGUUUAACACAUGUUAGAUGCUUGACAGAUGCAAUUGCAUCCCUAGUAGAUGGACCUGCGUUGUAUUAGCUAGUUGGUGGGGUAACGGCCUACCAAGGCGACGAUACAUAGCCGACCUGAGAGGGUGAUCGGCCACACUGGGACUGAGACACGGCCCAGACUCUACGGGAGGCAGCAGUAGGGAAUCUUCGGCAAUGGGGGCAACCCUGACCGAGCAACGCCGCGUGCGUGAAGAAGGUUUUCGGAUCGUAAAGCUCUGUUGUAAGAGAAGAACGUGUGUGAGAGUGGAAAGUUCACACAGUGACGGUAACUUACCAGAAAGGGACGGCUAACUACGUGCCAGCAGCCGCGGUAAU
RNAcentral lists this ribosomal RNA (534 nucleotides) under Streptococcus sp. W16. RNAcentral's name for it is "bacterial SSU rRNA". It matches the Rfam family "Bacterial small subunit ribosomal RNA", at positions 8 to 524 of the family's 1533-position model. Lineage: Bacteria; Bacillati; Bacillota; Bacilli; Lactobacillales; Streptococcaceae. The record is from RNAcentral.